CCUACGGGUGGCAGCAGUGGGGAAUAUUGGGCAAUGGGCGCAAGCCUGACCCAGCAACGCCGCGUGAAGGAAGAAGGCUUUCGGGUUGUAAACUUCUUUUCUCAGGGACGAAGCAAGUGACGGUACCUGAGGAAUAAGCCACGGCUAACUACGUGCCAGCAGCCGCGGUACUACGUAGGUGGCAAGCGUUAUCCGGAUUUACUGGGUGUAAAGUGCGUGUAGGCGGGGACGAAAGUCAGAUGUGAAAACCACGGGCUCAACCUGUGGCCUGCAUUUGAAACUGUGUUUCUUGAGUGCGGGAGAGGUAGACGGAAUUCCUAGUGUAGCGAUGAAAUGCGUAGAUAUUAGGAGGAACACCAGUGGCGAAGGCGGUCUGCUGGCCCGCAACUGACGCUGAGGAGCGAAAGCGUGGGUAGCAAACAGGAUUAGAUACCCGAGUAGUC
Molecule: ribosomal RNA, 443 nt
Filed under: uncultured bacterium
Lineage: Bacteria
Description: partial 16S ribosomal RNA
Rfam family: Bacterial small subunit ribosomal RNA
Source: RNAcentral